GGGAGGAAGCAAAAUAGUUGAAGAAAUCCAGAUCCGACAAAAUACAUUUACCUCCACAAAAUUGCAGAUAAACCCAAUAAGGCAAGUUUCAUCAUUUAAAAUGUAAUACUGUCAAUGUUACCGAGGAGAAAAAAAAUCUAUAAUUUCCCAAAAAUACAAUAAAUAAAAGAACAAAGAUCCACACAGCUAAAGACAAACAGAAGAUUCACCGACAAGAGUAAAACUAACCAUCGGAACACUUGUUCUUGGAGAGAGAACCAGAGCGAGAAUCGCGAUGAUCGAGCUGAGAUUUACCGGUGGAAAUGGAUGGUACGGACAAUCUCUCUUUGUCCUUGCUGUUCAAGGCACGCGAAGUGGAAGGGGAUGACUUUUCUAGGUGUUUGUCCAGCGCGUCGUUUAUGCGCUUUCGAUCGAUCUCCGAUUUCGAUGAGACACCACCAACUCCUCCUCGUUCUUUAUACAUAAUUCCGUUCCCUCUCAAUUUGAAAACACCAAUUUUUUUGGAAAAUUUUUCACUCUUUGAGAGCCAACAUGGUGACACAGAUAAUUAUAAAUUAAGAAAUGCAAAGAAAACCCUAGGUAUGAGGAAAUUAGGGUAUUGGGUGGAGUGGAAGAAUGAAGAGAGAUCGAGAGAGAGAAAACUCAGAUGCGGUGCAGAAGAUGAAUAUGAUAAAGAAAGUGGAUUGAAUGAAAGGGAAGGGUUUAAGGAGGGAGACGGUGAAAACUAGGGUUCUCAUCGCGGUAGAAAGGAGAGAUUCACACGCAUGAGCUCCUCAAUGUUCUCCCUUUCUCUCUUAUUUUCUUGUCAUCCUCUCCCUCUUUUCAUCUUCU
Molecule: unclassified non-coding RNA, 831 nt
Filed under: Hevea brasiliensis (rubber tree)
Lineage: Eukaryota; Viridiplantae; Streptophyta; Magnoliopsida; Malpighiales; Euphorbiaceae
Source: RNAcentral